RNAcentral lists this transfer RNA (71 nucleotides) under Acidiella diversa. Its description in RNAcentral is "tRNA-Ile". The record is from RNAcentral. Lineage: Eukaryota; Metazoa; Arthropoda; Insecta; Diptera; Tephritidae.
AAUGAAUUGCCUGACAAAAGGAUUACCUUGAUAGGGUAAAUUAUGUAAUUAAUUAAUUAAUUAAUUCAUUA